GUGUAGCGUACCUACUAGCCUACGACGGGUACGGGUUGUGAGAGCAAGAGCCCGGAGAUGGAUUCUGAGACACGAAUCCAGGCCCUACGGGGUGCAGCAGGCGCGAAAACUUUACAAUGCUGGCAACAGCGAUAAGGGAACCUCGAGUGCCAGGUUACAAAUCUGGCUGUCGAGAUGCCUAAAAAGCAUUUCAUAGCAAGGGCCGGGCAAGACCGGUGCCAGCCGCCGCGGUAACACCGGCGGCUCGAGUGGUAACCGUUAUUAUUGGGUCUAAAGGGUCUGUAGCCGGCCGGAUAAGUCUCUUGAGAAAUCUGGCAGCUUAACUGUCAGGCUUUCAGGAGAUACUGUCUGGCUCGAGGCCGGGAGAGGUGAGAGGUACUUCAGGGGUAGGGGUGAAAUCUUGUAAUCCUUGAAGGACCACCAGUGGCGAAGGCGUCUCACCAGAACGGACCUGACGGCAAGGGACGAAAGCUAGGGGCACGAACCGGAUUAGAUACCCGGGUAGUCCUAGCCGUAAACGAUACUCGCUAGGUGUCGGCCACGGUGCGACCGUUGUCGGUGCCGUAGGGAAGCCG
Molecule: ribosomal RNA, 575 nt
Filed under: uncultured archaeon
Lineage: Archaea
Description: bacterial SSU rRNA
Rfam family: Archaeal small subunit ribosomal RNA
Source: RNAcentral